ACGCAACACCACCUCACUCACUCCAAAUUCUACAAUGAACCGGUUUACAGUUUUUUUUCAAUUGCUUGAACACACAUGCUUAGACCAAAGUAACACAACUUGAAGUUUUUGUUACUAUACCUUAAACUCAUGUAACCAUUCCUUAAACAAAAGCGCUGCUUUGCACUUUAGUUGCAAUUGUGCAACACACAUGCUCCUGCACACUACACACUAUUUCAUUCAUAAGACACUAAGUUCAAAAAUGACAUCUCAGCGUACCAUUGGGAGAACACAUCUAUUUAAAAUACAAAACACAUUUGUUAAUUGAAAAUACUUGCACACACACCUGAAAACACUUUCUUACAAAACUCAACACCAAUCAGCCAGCUACAAAAAGGCCUCAGUUGAGCCAUUUUUUAGAACUUUGCAAGUAUUGAUGCAGGAAGAGCAAGAGGCAGAGGAGGAAGAGGAGGAAGAGGAGGACAGAGACAUAGAGGAGGACGUGGUCGAAGAGGCUGUGCACGGAACAUUAUUUCCGAUGACAUAAGAGCAACUUUGGUGGACCAUGUCAUAAACCAUGGCCUGACUGAGGGAAGCUUGGCAGAGAGUCCACCCUAAUCUAAGCUGUUUCACAGUUUCAUCCAUAAUAAGGCCAUUCCGACAGGAAAACAGAAAAAGAAGACCUUCUAGGGGCGGACGCCAACGCCUGUUUUCCCAACAGCAGGAACUUGCCAUUGUGGACCUACUAGUCAGAGCAAACAAUGCAAUCCGUCUCAACCAGCCACAGCAACAAAUACUUGCAGAUGGAGAAGUAUUCAACCACAUAGAGCGGAGCAUCUUGGAGCUGCACAGCCUCAUGAAUUUAUUAACAUUGAGGCUGGAUUCAACCUCAGCAGAACAAGACGACGGGGUCGUAACAUACAUAAUUGGCCAAGGGGCAACGCAGAAGAAAUAUCUAAUUGUGUGCUAUCAUAAGCCUUCAAGGGCUACUGAACCAUCAUGCAAAACUAGGUACCUUCAAUACCAAACAUAUAAUCACAUUUCUGUAUGCACUUCAUGAUGCAGCUGUACAGGACAGACAGAGCAGCCCAGGUUUGUUGUUGUCUUGGAUAAUGUUAGUUUCCAUCGGAAUGUUCUGGUCCGGAACUGGUUCACCAACCAUAAUCAAUUUGAAGUCCUAUACUUGCCCCCUUACUCGCCAUUUCCAAAGCCCAUAGAAUAUUUUUUUCCGGCUUGGAGAUGGCGCGUUUAUGACCGCCAACCACAUGCUCGCAUGCCUCUUCUGCAGGCAAUGGAACAGGCCUGCGGAGACAUUGAGGUAGGGUCAAUCCAUGGAUGGAUUCGGCACACAAGGCAAUAUUUUCCUCGAUGCUUAGCGGGAGAAACAUUGCUUGUGAUGUUGAUGAGAUCCUGUGGCCAGACCCCAACAGACGGCAGGAUCCAUAAGCCCACCCACGCACAAUUGCCAUGUUUUUCUUUGUUUACAGUAGGGUUUAUUUUUGUUUUAUUUUUGCUUAAAAUGUAUUUACUGCACUGUAAUGUACAGUACUGCAAUGUUCAGUAUUGAGUAUUUGAACUUUUGGUUAUUGUGAAAAAGUGCCUUUCUGUGGAACUGAA
Molecule: long non-coding RNA, 1596 nt
Organism: Gadus chalcogrammus (walleye pollock)
Lineage: Eukaryota; Metazoa; Chordata; Actinopteri; Gadiformes; Gadidae
Exons: 3
Source: RefSeq, a predicted model, not a curated record